UACGUACUGUGCAAACGUUAUUCGGAAUCACUGGGCUUAAAGGGUGUGUAGGCGGCCGAUUAAGUAGGGUGUGAAAGGCCUCGGCUCAACCGAGGCAUUGCGCUCUAAACUGAUCAGCUUGAGUGAGAUAGGGGUGUGCGGAACUUCCAGUGGAGCGGUGAAAUGUGUUGAUAUUGGAAAGAACGCCGGUGGCGAAAGCGGCACACUGGGUCUUCACUGACGCUGAGACACGAAAGCCAGGGGAGCGAACGGG
Molecule: ribosomal RNA, 253 nt
Filed under: uncultured bacterium
Lineage: Bacteria
Description: partial 16S ribosomal RNA
Rfam family: Bacterial small subunit ribosomal RNA
Source: RNAcentral